UGGGGAAUCUUGCGCAAUGGGCGAAAGCCUGACGCAGCCAUGCCGCGUGAGUGAUGAAGGCCUUAGGGUUGUAAAACUCUUUCACCGGGGACGAUAAUGACGGUACCCGGAGAAGAAGCCCCGGCUAACUUCGUGCCAGCAGCCGCGGUAAUACGAAGGGGGCUAGCGUUGCUCGGAAUUACUGGGCGUAAAGGGCGCGUAGGCGGAUCAGCAAGUUGGGGGUGAAAGCCCGGGGCUCAACCUCGGAAUUGCCUUCAAAACUGCUGAUCUAGAGUACGGGAGAGGUGUGUGGAACUCCGAGUGUAGAGGUGAAAUUCGUAGAUAUUCGGAAGAACACCAGUGGCGAAGGCGACACACUGGCCCGUUACUGACGCUGAGGCGCGAAAGCGUGGGGAGCAAACAGGAUUAGAUACCCUGGUAGUCCACGCUGUAAACGAUGACUGCUAGUUGUCGGCAGGCAUGCCUGUCGGUGACGCAGCUAACGCAUUAAGCAAUCCGCCUGGGGAGUACGGUCGCAAGAUUAAAACUCAAAGG
RNAcentral lists this ribosomal RNA (534 nucleotides) under uncultured bacterium. RNAcentral's name for it is "partial 16S ribosomal RNA". It matches the Rfam family "Bacterial small subunit ribosomal RNA", at positions 355 to 907 of the family's 1533-position model. The record is from RNAcentral.